Molecule: unclassified non-coding RNA, 181 nt
Filed under: fungal sp.
Lineage: Eukaryota; Fungi
Also listed under: 1 other name
Description: partial internal transcribed spacer region
Rfam family: Eukaryotic small subunit ribosomal RNA (bases 1-46)
Source: RNAcentral
AAGUCGUAACAAGGUUUCCGUAGGUGAACCUGCGGAAGGAUCAUUAUUGAUUUUAAGCGGACUGAACCUUUUUGGGUGAGGUCUUGCGAAAAUUUAUAUUUAAAACAUCCCACUCGUAAAAAAAAAAUUGAAAUUAUUAUAUAAUUUAAGAUCACUUUCAACAACGGAUCUCUUGGCUCUC